CUACGGGUCGCAGCAGUGAGGAAUAUUGCACAAUGGGGGGAACCCUGAUGCAGCAACGCCGCGUGGAGGAUGACGCAUUUCGGUGUAUAAACUCCUUUUAUAUGUCAAGAAAAUGACGGUAGCAUAUGAAUAAGCACCGGCUAACUCCGUGCCAGCAGCCGCGGUAAUACGGAGGGUGCAAGCGUUACUCGGAAUCACUGGGCGUAAAGGACGCGUAGGCGGGUUGGAAAGUCAGGUGUGAAAUCCUACAGCUUAACUGUAGAACUGCACUUGAAACUUCUAAUCUAGAGUAUGGGAAGGGGAGAUGGAAUUAGUGGUGUAGGGGUAAAAUCCGUAGAUAUCACUAGGAAUACCUAAAGCGAAGGCGAUCUCCUGGAACAUUAUUGACGCUGAGACGCGAAAGCGUGGGGAGCAAACAGGAUUAGAUACCCUCGUAGUC
RNAcentral lists this ribosomal RNA (439 nucleotides) under uncultured bacterium. Its description in RNAcentral is "partial 16S ribosomal RNA". It matches the Rfam family "Bacterial small subunit ribosomal RNA", at positions 339 to 795 of the family's 1533-position model. The record is from RNAcentral.